GAACUUUAACAUGGUAUCUAGAGCUUGUUUCGAUCCACCUUAAAUCACCGGUUCUUUCCGCUGUCAAAUUCUCAAAAGUUUGAGAAUGUAUUUGGUUUGAUCUUUGAUGAUUUGUUCUUUCCCUGGGUUAGUUCUUUCUCUUAUUGUUGGUCAAUUUUUCAAGUGGGUAUUGUCUUUGCUGGUAUUUGUGAAUUCUGUGUGCCGUCGUCUAUUAUUGCUUGGAAGAAACAAAUUGGUUAUUACUUCUUUUUUGAUGGGUUUUGAAUUUUAUUGGUGGAUAUUUGCAACGUUCAUCCACGUUUUGAAUUUUAGUGACAGGAGAAGUGAAUUUAUUUGGGAGUUUAUUGCAAGUUCUGUUGUGAAUUUCCUCUCUCGGCUUGUUUGAUAUGCUUGAUAAUGUUGGUUGCGGCUGUGUCGUCAAUUUCAUUUGGUGUGGUCUUUUUUUGGUUUUGUUGUUGUUUAUUCAAUUGGUAUUUGAUUUAAAUCCUCUCUAUUGAGUUGGAUUGGUAUGAUUGAUUUAAUUUGGUUCAGUUCCAUUCGAUUUGGUUUUGUUUCUGUUUUGUUUGGUUAUGCUUCGCUUCUUGCGGUUUGGUUUGGUUUGUCAUGACUGUUUUUUUUGUUUGGUUCUGUUGGGUGAGUUAAGAUAAUACUCGCAAUCUGUCUGUCCGGUGAGCGAAUACUCACAAUUUGAAAUUUGAAUCCGGUGAGGGAAUACUCACAUUGAAUCCAGUGAGGGAAUACUCACAUUGAAUCCGGUGAGGGAAUACUCACAAUUUGAAAUUUGAAUCCGGUGAGCGAAUACUCACAAUUUGAAAUUUGAAUCCGGUGAGGGAAUACUCACAUUGAAUCCGGUGAGGGAAU
RNAcentral lists this long non-coding RNA (861 nucleotides) under Trifolium pratense (red clover). Its description in RNAcentral is "long non-coding RNA (TPRA_LNC008582)". Lineage: Eukaryota; Viridiplantae; Streptophyta; Magnoliopsida; Fabales; Fabaceae. The record is from RNAcentral.